RNAcentral lists this transfer RNA (56 nucleotides) under Loxodonta africana (African savanna elephant). It matches the Rfam family "tRNA", at positions 10 to 63 of the family's 71-position model. From Rfam's summary of the family: Transfer RNA (tRNA) molecules are approximately 80 nucleotides in length. Their secondary structure includes four short double-helical elements and three loops (D, anti-codon, and T loops). Lineage: Eukaryota; Metazoa; Chordata; Mammalia; Proboscidea; Elephantidae. The record is from Rfam by way of RNAcentral.
GUACAGUGGUUAGAACUCUUGACUGCUAACCAAGAGGUUGGUGGUUCAAACCCACC